AGUAGUGAUACGCUUAUCUCAAGGGCUAAGCCAUGCAAGUCUAAGUACAGUUGUUAAGCAAGCAUGCCUCGCCUUCCCUGGCGUAACGAACAAUGAAACCGCAUACAGCUCAAUAUAAAGGCCUGAACGGUGAUAGCGUGAGGCCGACGUCGCGUCACCUGUGGAUAACUAUUGCAAAUCUAUAGCUAAUACAUGUUCACAACGUCUCCCGGCCUGGCCGGGAGGCGGCCAACGUUCGAAUAGAACCUAACAAAACUUACGUGAUAGAGAAGGUUGGCGGAUCUGUCGAAGACCGCUUUUCUCUACAGGCUUAUCUAUCAACUAGACAGUAAGGUAAGUUCUUACUGUGGUUACCACGGGUGACGGGGAAUCAGGGUUCGAUUCCGGAGAGGGAGCCUGAGAGACGGCUACCACUUCCAAGGAAGGCAGCAGGCGCGAAAAUUACCCACUUACAGCUCGUAGAGGUAGUAAAGAUAAAUGACAGUGCGGGACUCUUCCGAGGCCCCGUAAUUGGAUUGAUCGAAAUUUAAAACCAACAUAAAUAACUAUUGGAGGGCAAGCCUGGUGCCAGCAGCCGCGGUAAUUCCAGCUCCAAUGGCGUAUAUUAAAAUUGCUGCGUUUAAAACGCUCGUAGUCCAACCUGUACGACGACUAACCGGUACUACCAACGCGGUACGCACUGGUGUUGCCGUCGUAUCAAGUCGGUAUGAACGCGAGUUCUGGCAAUCCUCUCGUUGCUCUUCGCUGAGUGGCGAGUACGGACCGACUAAGUUACUUACAUGAAAUUAGAGUGAUCAAGGCAAGCUGAACGCUUGAAUACGCAUGUACAGUAUAACGUAACAUGCCGAGGGGCCUCUCUCUCGACUAGGUUCUGGGGUCCCUCGGAAUGAUUAACGGGAACUGAUGGGGGCAUACGUAUUGCGACGGGAGAGGUGAAAUUCUAAGAUCGUCGCAAGACGACCUAACGCGAAAGCUUUUGCCAAAUAAGCCUCCGUUGAUCAAGAACGAAAGUUAGAGGUUCGAAGGCGAUCAGAUACCGCCCUAGUUCUGACCAUAAACCAUGCCAGCUAGCUAUCCGCUACGGUAAGUCUACCGGCCUAGUGGGCAGCUCCCGGGAAACCAAGCUUGAUGGUUACGGGGGUAGUAUGGUUGCAAAUCUGAAACUUAAAGGAAUUGACGGAAGGGCACCACCAGGAGUGGAGCCUGCGGCUUAAUUUGACUCAACACGGGAAACCUCACCAGGCCAGGACAUAGCGAUGAUUGACAGAUCAAUAGCUCUUUCUAGAUUCUAUGGGUGGUGGUGCAUGGCCGUUCUUAGUUGGUGGAGUGAUUUGUCUGGUUUAUUCCGUUAACGAGCGAGACUCUGCCUUACUAAAUAGACCGGAACAUAUAUUAAGUUGAGCGAAGAGGUUCGGCCGUUCGUUCGGCGCGCGUUCGUCGGGCAACCGGCGUCGAGCGUCGCGCGCGCGCGUCCUCCUCCUAGCGAUGCUGAACUGUUUCCGAAAUCAAACUCUUCUUAGAAGGAUAAGUUGUAGACAAUUGCAAGAGAAAGAGCAAUAACAGGUCUGUGAUGCCCUUAGAUGUCCUGGGCCGCACGCGCGCUACACUGAAGAAGACAAUGGGUUCUCCCUGGCCGAGAGGUCCGGGUAACCCUUUCAAUCUUCUUCGUGCUAGGGAUUGGGGCUUGCAAUUGCGUCCCAUGAACGAGGAAUUCCCAGUAAGCUCAGGUGAUAAGCUUGGACUGAUUAAGUCCCUGCCCUUUGUACACACCGCCCGUCGCUACUACCGAUUGAGUAAGUUAGUGAGGGCUUUGGAUCGGCUAUCGUCGCGCUUCGGCGCGCGGUAUAGGCCGUAAAGAAGUCCAAACUUACUCACUUAGAGGAAGUAAAA
RNAcentral lists this ribosomal RNA (1890 nucleotides) under Zethopsus sp. JP-2014. RNAcentral describes it as "SSU rRNA". It matches the Rfam family "Eukaryotic small subunit ribosomal RNA". The record is from RNAcentral. Lineage: Eukaryota; Metazoa; Arthropoda; Insecta; Coleoptera; Staphylinidae.